This 597-nucleotide ribosomal RNA is filed under the name Salmonella enterica subsp. enterica serovar Infantis. RNAcentral describes it as "partial 23S ribosomal RNA". It matches the Rfam family "Bacterial large subunit ribosomal RNA", at positions 2228 to 2824 of the family's 2925-position model. The record is from RNAcentral. Lineage: Bacteria; Pseudomonadati; Pseudomonadota; Gammaproteobacteria; Enterobacterales; Enterobacteriaceae.
UGGAUCCGUAAUCCGGGUUGCGGACAGUGUCUGGUGGGUAGUUUGACUGGGGCGGUCUCCUCCUAAAGAGUAACGGAGGAGCACGAAGGUUGGCUAAUCCUGGUCGGACAUCAGGAGGUUAGUGCAAUGGCAUAAGCCAGCUUGACUGCGAGCGUGACGGCGCGAGCAGGUGCGAAAGCAGGUCAUAGUGAUCCGGUGGUUCUGAAUGGAAGGGCCAUCGCUCAACGGAUAAAAGGUACUCCGGGGAUAACAGGCUGAUACCGCCCAAGAGUUCAUAUCGACGGCGGUGUUUGGCACCUCGAUGUCGGCUCAUCACAUCCUGGGGCUGAAGUAGGUCCCAAGGGUAUGGCUGUUCGCCAUUUAAAGUGGUACGCGAGCUGGGUUUAGAACGUCGUGAGACAGUUCGGUCCCUAUCUGCCGUGGGCGCUGGAGAACUGAGGGGGGCUGCUCCUAGUACGAGAGGACCGGAGUGGACGCAUCACUGGUGUUCGGGUUGUCAUGCCAAUGGCACUGCCCGGUAGCUAAAUGCGGAAGAGAUAAGUGCUGAAAGCAUCUAAGCACGAAACUUGCCCCGAGAUGAGUUCUCCCUGAGACUUA